AAACAAAUGAGAGCUCAAAGAAUCCUUAUAUAGGAUUUCUAAAGCUUUCUCACCAAGUCGGGCACUUUAUGCCAGUUUCCUUAUUUGGCUUUGUCAAAGAUCACUAUCAAUGGGUUGACUUGAUAUAUUUGAUUCUUACCUUAGGUGACUCCCGCAGAUCCGACAUUCCUUUUGUAUUAUCCCGCAAUUAUGGCUAGUCAAACUUUCUUUACUUGGAACUUGCAUUAUCCAAUAGCCGAACAUUCUUUAAUUGGUCUUGCGUCUUGAUCUCUCCGUAUGUAUGCUCUGAUCGUUCCAUGAUCAGUUUACCAUCGCUCAA
RNAcentral lists this long non-coding RNA (319 nucleotides) under Brassica napus (rape). Its description in RNAcentral is "long non-coding RNA (BNAP_LNC022187)". Lineage: Eukaryota; Viridiplantae; Streptophyta; Magnoliopsida; Brassicales; Brassicaceae. The record is from RNAcentral.